GGCCCAUUAGCUCAGUUGGUUAGAGCGUUGUGCUAAUAACGCGAAUGUGCAGGUUCGAGACCUGCAUGUGCCA
This is a non-coding RNA of Lathyrus oleraceus (garden pea), 73 nucleotides long. The record is from the annotation of a RefSeq genome assembly. NCBI's taxonomy places the organism in Eukaryota, Viridiplantae, Streptophyta, Magnoliopsida, Fabales, Fabaceae.